This 5022-nucleotide long non-coding RNA is filed under the name Mytilus galloprovincialis (Mediterranean mussel). Lineage: Eukaryota; Metazoa; Mollusca; Bivalvia; Mytilida; Mytilidae. The record is from RNAcentral.
AUCUGAGAGAUAUUUGUUUCUCGUGUCAUUGUUUUGGAGAUUCGGCAUAGUGGAAAAUUUAACAUAAGAAAUGCAUGUUAUAUACUAGGGAUCUGCUCAUGAUUUUGUCCUGAGUACCCAUGUAGGAGGUAAAUCCUAGUUGAAUAUCUUCAAACAAGAACAAUCAUAGAUAAAUUGACUUUCCUUUUUUGAAUGCCUACAUUUACUAGUAUAAUUUGAUUCGAAAAGGCCUACCAUGGGCAUUUUACAGUUUGAUUGGGUAAUCACGGUUUAUAAUUCUGUACUUUCUACCUAACAUCUAAUAAGACAUCGAAAUAUAUAAUACUAGUAAUUUCCAACAAUUGAUCACAUAAGUGUUAAUGCCUAAUAUUUCUGAUUUCGAUAAGUUUUUUUUUACCGAACUUGGCUACCUGUGAGAGUAUUGUACGGUUGGUCUAAUUUGGUGUGAUUUUGGGAAGUGUUAGGCCUAAAUAUAUCCAACUUUUGAUUGAUAAGACAAGCCGAGAAUUUAGUCUGCAGACAUGGUCGAGACAUGUACGUAUAUAUAUAUGCACUUUGAUGCAAAACUUUGGAAACGAUGUGUAAACGUAUAUAUCAGUGAGUAAUGGGCUGGUAAUAAGUACUUGUCCUUUAUUUUCUUUUAUUAACCAACUAAGUACAUUAUUGCCAAAAAUGACUGGUUAUUAAAAAUAACAUAUUUUCUGUAAUGGCCUGUUUUUCUGUAAUGGCCUGUUUUUUCUGUAAUGGCCCUGACUUUUUUGUAAUGGCCCUGUAUUAAUGCCCAACUUGUCUGUAUUUAGCCCAGUUAGGGUUUUUAAUAAAGUUGAUAAAAUUAAGCUGUAAAGAGUAGAAUACCUUUUUAUUUUUAUUUAAUUUAGUAACCAGCAACAAACUUAAAGAACCAUAUAAAGGGAUCACUGUUCAUCCUGUCUUCAACAAUAUUGGAUAUUUGGUAAAAGUAUAUUUAAAUCUUAGAUCAUGUGAAGUACAAAUAUUUUUUUUCAAACUAAACUGUCAUUAAAGAGUAAGAAGUACAUCAAGUUGCAGCAAAGCAUACACUUUUUUCAGUUGGUUAAUAAUGAUAGAAAUGGGUGUUUUUUAAUGGCCGUUAUAUGUCCUUGUCAGUAAUAAUAGCCUCGGAUGUCUGUAAUGGCCCUGCGUUGCUCCGGCCAUUACAGACCCUCACAUUUUAAGACUUGACAUAUAACAGGGCCAUUAUAAAAAUACCCAUUCAUUAAUACUAUAGUUAUAUAUUUCUGUAUGGAUUAUCCGAGCCUUCCUAUACUAAAAUGAUAAGCAAUAAAAACCAUCAUUUUUUCAAAAUAUGGUCAAAAUACAGGGGGAUAAAGUUUUUAUUUCUGUAUAUGGAAAAGGUGGGUUCAAUUUUUUUUAUAAUUUCAAAGUGGGGGAAUCAAUAUUCCAUGUACAUGUAAAUAAAAAGUUAACAUACUUCAAAAGACAAAAUGUCAAAUAGAACAUUACAACAGUCAAAUGGAAAUAUAUGUUUACCACUAAUCAUAUACAUGUACAAUUAAGUAAGAUAUCACAUGAAAGUUUACAGACUCAAUGGAGAUUUCCAUAUGACCUAAUGUAAAACUUAGUUUACUGAUGCAGCGUUCAAGAGAGGGACAUAUGAUUGAUCCCUAAUAGUAAACAAUGUGUUGUUACUAGUUCAAAAGGUUUACAUUUUAAUGUAUAUUUUUACAGAGUUACUUAAGACAAGUUUCCUUUAAUAGCCCAAUAAAGAAAAUUCGAAAAAAAGUCAGAAAAAGCUUUCAUAAGCACAGGCUUGCUCUACCUACUAAUAUUCAUGAUAGAGUCCUAUUUCAAGGCAAUUAUUUCUCCUAAUAUGGUUUUGCAUGUUUUAAAAAGUUAAGCGUUUUAUACGACCGCAAAAAAUUUUUUGCGAUUGAUAUUAUCAUAUCAUGUCGUCGUCGUCCGAAGACAUGUGGUUUUCGCACAAUAAAUUUAGUAUAAGUAAAUAGAAAUCUACUACACAAAGUUUUUGACCACAAAAAGAAGUUGGGGAUUAAUUUUUGGAGUUUUGGUUCCAACAGUUUAGGAAUUAGGGGACGAAAGGGUCCAAAAUUAAACUUUGUUUGAUUUCAUUAAAAAAAUAUUUUUGGAGUUCUUUGAUAUGCUGAAUCUAACCGUGUAUUUAGAUUCUUAAUUUUUGGUCCUGUUUUCAAAUUGGUCCACACUGAAGUCUAAAUGGUCCAAAAUUGAACGUUAUUUGAUCUCUUGGGGUUCUUUGAUAUGCUGAAUCUAACCAUUUAUUUAGAUUUUGGAUAUUGGACCAUAAAGAGAAAUUUUUAAGUUUUUAAGCUUAAGUUCUUAGACCACAUUCAUUCUGUGUCAGAAACCUUUGUUGUGUCAACUUUUUAAUCACAAUCCAAAUUUAGAGCUGUAUCAAGAUUGAAUGUUGUGUCCAUACUUGCCCUAACUGUUCAGGGUUCGACCUCUGCGGUCAUAUCAAUCUGUGCCCUGCGGAGCAUUUAAUUUCAUACAAAUGGGGGAGUCAUAUUUUAAAAAUAUUUUGAUGAGGAGGGGGGGGAUCAAAUUAAAAAUAGUAAAAUAUUAGGGGGGGGGGUUUAAGAAAAUUUUACAUGUUUGAUUUCAAAAUGACCAGCCCCCCUUUCAGGUCAAAAAUAAUUAGUCCCUUAUCCACAUUUGUACUGUUUGCAACAACAUAAUUUAAUUGCAACUGCAGAACAAUUGAAUGUUAAUUAAACACUAGAUAUAAAUUGAUUAGCUUCAAAUACUAGCUCCACCUAGCUGUGUCAUUCAAAGUAUUUAGUACGAUUCUUUUUUAUACAUUUUUACCCGAAUUUUAAAUUGUUGCUUAGUUUAAAUGAACCGUCGUCUAAAAGAUUAAACCAAUUAAGCGUCCUUGAACUAAAUAUUCAGCAAUGUUUAUAUAUUAUGCAUCCUGGGUGACUGAUUUUAUGUCAACACGUAAAAAGAUUGAAAAAAUCAUUAAUCCAUGCAGUGGUAACUUGUUUUGCUAAAUCACACAGAGCAAGUGGUUGGACUUAGAUAAUCAGAUAAGUAAUAUAACAUGCCUAAAUUGUACAUUAAUUAUAAGAAGUGUCUUUUGUACUUAUUUUUAUUAUUUUAGUGAUCUUUGUUGUUAUAUGAUUUGACUUUGAUGUAUUGAAGACCCAUUGGUGGCCUAAGGCUGUUUGCUUCUCUUUGGUCGGGUUGUUGUCUCUUUGACACAUUCCCCGUUCCAAUUCUCAUUUUUAUUCUUAUAUUAAAUUUAUGCCUCUGGUGCUCGUAACCACCUUGCUUUGCUGCGUUUAUCCCCCGCAACUAAAUGUUAGGGGGUGGUGCAUAUGGUUUUAUCUGUAUCCGUCCGUCCUUCCAUCCUCCUGUCUCAUUAUGGGUAUAUAGUUAUUCCAGAUAACUCCGCCUACAGUUUGAAUGCUAGGCCGAAGUUUUCAUGCACUUUGCUGGUUGUUUUUAAAAGUAUUAUAUAUUAAAGAUGUGCAAGCAGCAUGUGGUUAGGGUUUAGAUUAUAUAUAUAUAUUGCAUAAGAGGUGCAUAUGCUAUAGCGUUUCCAGAAAACACCUCAUUUGUCCAGUCAAACACAGAUUUUACCUCAAACUAAUUGCAAAAUAAAAUGUUUUAGUUCUAAUCUAUAGCAUUAUGCCCUUUGUAUACACAGAAAAAAAGUCCCAUAAAAUCUAACUUGAGGAAAUUUAAACUCAAAAUCAGCAUUUUUAAUUUCCUAUGGAAAUUAACAGUGAAAGGGGAAAUAACUCUUGCAAAAAUGAGUCUUUUUUGGUCAGUUUUUGGUUGUUUUUCUUGAAAUUUAUGUAAAGUGUGAUACUUUGAUGGGGUUAUAAGUUUGUAGUUGACUAUAUUGUAUAAUCUUCUGCUCAUGAAAUGUACAAAACCGAAGUGUUAUGGGUAGUUUUAUUUUUUUCGUGCGUUUUUCACUAAAGAAAAUGCAAACUUGAAGCUUUAUAACCAUUUUGAAAAAAAUAACGUGAAAAUGUGGUAUUGUUUAUACUUGUAUGUUAAAAUUUUUUCGGCAACUAACUUAUCUAAAGGAACUUUAAACCACAAAAAUAAAAAUACAUGCUUAAUUAUUUUUAUUAAAUUUGAGAUUCUUUACCUUGACAUGUUGAAAAAUUCAAUAAAUGUUCAACUAAUGAGGGUUUGGAUGGGGUUAAAUGAUUAAAGAAUAAUGCCCUUAAAAAUGAAGAUUAGAGAAUAAGGGGCAAAAAAAUGAAGAUUAGAGAAAUGCGUGGUCUAAUUGUUUGAAGAUUAGAGAAAAAAGGGGUCAAUUUUUUGAAGAUUAGAGAAAAAAGGGGUGAAAAUUAAAUGUUUACAUAACAGACCCCCCCCCCCCCCUCUCCAUCCAGACCCUCACUAAUGAAUUACGAAAUGUAGAUUAUAGCUUGAUAAAAUAUAUGAAAACACCUUUAGAGUUGUUUGUUAUACUCUAAAGACCGCUAAAAAAUCAAAAAUCAGUACAUUCUGAUGAAUAGAAGCGUUAAAGUUAUAAUUUUGUAUCCAUUUUAUUGAUAUUUCUGCCUUUUUGCAAGAGUUAUCUCCCUUUUCAAUGCAAAUCUCCAUAGCAAUUUUGAAUGGUGAUUUUCUAAGUCUUCCUCAAGUUAGAUUUUAUGGGACUUUUUCUGUGUUUAUUUGGGGUAUAAUACUAAAGAUUAAAACAUAAAAAUCUUAUGUUGCAAUUACGGGUUAGGGUCAAAUUUAUGCUAGUUUGACUGGACUACAUACAGUUCAAAUGCUAGAAAGUUUUCACUUUGCUGGCUGUUUGUACAUAUUUUGAAGGUGUGCAUGUGGUAUAUUGAAGUUUUUGUUUUUAAGGAUGUCAGAAGCAAAUAUUGAAGCAUUCCUGGCUGAGGAGCCAAGCCCAUUGCUAGUUUACCAAGAUAUCAAAUUACCAUCCUUUUUACCUCUAAGAGGGGAUGGACUUGAGAAGAGAAUGAAAGAAAUUACCGAAUUUAACUUCCUUGAAAGCGACAUACUAAUAUGCGGUUAUCCGAAAUCAGG